GCCUGCAGCCAUACUACCUUGGGUUGUGAUCUUCGCGUCUCACAGGACAAGCAAGGUCAAACUUGGUCAAUAUUCAAACAGGACACCUACAAAGUAAAUCCAGGUGCUGCAAGUC
This 115-nucleotide ribosomal RNA is filed under the name Calidris pygmaea (Spoon-billed sandpiper). The record is from RNAcentral. Lineage: Eukaryota; Metazoa; Chordata; Aves; Charadriiformes; Scolopacidae.